This 164-nucleotide ribosomal RNA is filed under the name uncultured bacterium. RNAcentral's name for it is "partial 16S rRNA". It matches the Rfam family "Bacterial small subunit ribosomal RNA", at positions 355 to 511 of the family's 1533-position model. The record is from RNAcentral.
UAGGGAAUCUUCGGCAAUGGGGGCAACCCUGACCGAGCAACGCCGCGUGAGUGAAGAAGGUCUUCGGAUCGUAAAACUCUGUUGUUAGAGAAGAACACGAGUGAGAGUAACUGUUCAUUCGAUGACGGUAUCUAACCAGCAAGUCACGGCUAACUACGUACCAG